ACUCGAGGCGACACGGUCGCAGGCAAAUGAAGGCGGCCGCGAAGGCCACGGAGCAGGGGCGGAGAAACACCGAACGGCGGCUGGAGGAAAAACGCCUGCGCCGGCCGAAGAGGCGGGGCCUGAGCUUCUGGCGACUAAACUGGGCCACUAGGUGAUCCCUGGGCACUGGACAAGGGCCGCCUCUAAGAUAAGCUGAGUUAAACUUCAGCAAUUGUUAGUGUGCCGCCCUAGCCUAACGUUAGCCCUGGGACCGUCAGUUAGCUUAACUGGUUUCCAAAGCUCUAAAAUCUGAGCCACUAACUGGCCUGAGAGUCUUGCUCCAGUUAUUCAAGCUCAAUGAAGUACUUUUAUUGCCAUCCCUCAGAAAAGAAAACUGAAGCUCAGAGACUUAAAUAGUCCAGAUAGGACAAAUAGAUGGUUGAUAUUUGCAAUGAUGGUACAAAAGCAAUGGUGGAUAAAAUUGCUAGUGUCUGGCAAGAAUCAAAACGACAACAAACCACACCAGUGGUCACUGUAAUCUUCAUCACCACUUCACAGUAAAGAAAAAAAAAAUCCAACUUCAUGUAACAGUGUUCUGGAUGAAGCAAUAAAAAUUAUUAAUCUUGUUAAA
Molecule: long non-coding RNA, 610 nt
Organism: Zalophus californianus (California sea lion)
Lineage: Eukaryota; Metazoa; Chordata; Mammalia; Carnivora; Otariidae
Exons: 3
Source: RefSeq, a predicted model, not a curated record